Mustela erminea (ermine) is the source of this 2682-nucleotide long non-coding RNA. RefSeq lists it as uncharacterized. The transcript has 4 exons. NCBI's taxonomy places the organism in Eukaryota, Metazoa, Chordata, Mammalia, Carnivora, Mustelidae. The record is from RefSeq and is a predicted model, not a curated record.
GGUGGUCAGCCUCCUGGAACACAUAUAGGGCAAAAUAUGGAUCUUAGUAGGGGCCAAAUGGAGACUAACCAGUACAGAGAACAAAUCAGAAACUCAUUCCAGUAAUCGGAAAAUAUAUUGGAAAGGAAGAUAAAUAAGGGGUAGAAAUUUAGGGUCUAAAGUUUCAUUAUCAGAGGAAGGUCCAAGUAAAAAGGGGCUGAUCUUCCUCGUAGAGCAUAAUGAGAGAAUUUAGUGAUUAUGAAAGGGUGACUGAGCCCUAGGUCAGUCUACUGUAGAGACUUGAUUUCAAGCCUUGCCCUUGUUGUGGAAUGGAUACCUGUUUACUCUUCUUGUUCCACAUCAUAAUUUGCCUGGGGACUGAGGUGUGGCUACUCCUGAAAGAUUUGGGACUCAGAAGGUCUGUUGGUCAGUAGCUCAGGACAGGGACAGAAAAAAGGACGCAUUGUUACUCAUCAAGGAAGAGACCAUUACCACAUCUGGUUGUCCUGAUUCUUUUUUUGUCCUCUCCAGAUUGGGAUUGGUUCCUGCUUAAGCUGGACUUGAAAACUCUCAAGAGAGUUUAGUCAAAUAAUUGACUAAGUGAAGUAAAGAAGGGUUGGCUCUACCAGUCUUCAUGCAGAGGUCAUUAUGUGGCCCAGGUGGUAAUUAAUCCCUGUCACCAACUGCUAUGAUAAAUACCUAAAUGAUACUGUGUCAAGGGGUUAAAAACAAUCUGGAUUACAGCAGAAAGCUCAAAUUGUGGCUGGCAACAAGAUGGCAAACAGAAGUAGCGCAGCACCAACUCCACAGAAGAAGAGGGCAAGUAACAACCUUCCUUAGUCAGCUGGGGCUAAGACAAGAGUGCUCGAUGCAAAGUUGGGAACCAGAGGAGGACUGGGCUGAGCAUUAAAACUCUUGGCUGAGCCUAAAGUGAUUUCAAAGCAGAACAAGGGUGGAACUGUUUAGUAGUGGAAAAGAAAGCUUGGUUUGAUGCCUAGAGAGAAUUACGUGAUGUUUAAAAAAGACCAUUAUUUAUUACAAAAUCAAGCAGGGCAAACAUAUCAGCAAGCUUGAGACAGUCUUUAUCUGAGAUUUUUAGAUCUACAAUUCAGGUGAGAGAAUAUUACCAAGUUCAACCUGCUUAUCAACCCUUUAUAUUCAAUCUGCAAUGAAAGAGAAAUGUAACAGACACAGAUCCCACCCCCUCCUACUUUGUGGACUUGAGCCUAAAUUUAACUUGAAUUCUGUUUAAAAGGAGCUUUUUAUUCAGCCUUCUAAAAAUGAGAGAUUUGCUUAUUAAUGGGAACUGUGCAUUUUAUUAAGAUGAUCUUUAUUUUGGACUAGUUGGAGAGUAAGGUGAGAGGGAAGUAGUUGGAAAAAGAGAUAUAAAAAGAAAAAAAAGCUGUCAAAAUUGUUAAAAAUACAAAGAUAACACAACAAACCCCAUAUCCAUCUGCCUGGGAAACACUUUUCUUUGCCUUAUUUUAUGUUGCUUUUGAAUUGGCUAUUCUCUGCCUAGGUGCUUGGACAGCUCCUCCUUCUAUCUUCCCCAGCCAGCUUUUGUGCUUCAAAAUGCUAGGCACAUUUUGGCUCCCCCACCUUCUAACACUGUCAUUACUCCCAGUGCCACCCCAGAUAGAUUUGUCGUAUGCAAAUCUGUACUUAUCACAUCAUAGUGACAUAACUUUGUGAUGCAAAGUCUUCUCCACUGUACUGUCAGCCAUUGAGGGAAUGAGCCAAUGAAACAAUAUGGAUUUAUACAGCCAGAACAAAUAGCUUCAAGGAUAGCAUAAAAGUAUCCUGGUACAUAUUUCAGUAUGACUGAGGCAUGAUGAGGGCAAAGAUACAGCUGGGCUUUUGGAAUAACUGCAAGUAGAAGGAAACCUAGCUAUAUCCAUGAUUCUAGUUAAGUUUUCAGUUGAGGUCCCCAUGCCAUAUACAUAAAUGGCUUUAGACUCCACACUUAAAUGGAGAGCAUAGGCUGGGAUCCUAAUUUCCUAUGGAGGAUUUUCUCCACCCAUGGUUCUGGCCAGCUUUCUUGCUGUUUCUCUGCGAAGGUGGAGUGUUUCUAAAUCCGGUUUCAGAGGUGGCUUGAUAUAAGUCUAAUUUAUAGAUUAUUUGUUCAAAGAUGGAUGUGGAGCGAAGAAAAGGAAGGAGUUGAGUCCAGAGGAUUCAAAUUUAAGCAUUUGGAAAAGUAAGUUACUAUUUAAUGAAAUUGAGUAAUUUGUAGAAGGAACAUAUGUGGGUAUGGAAAUUAAGAGCUUGGUUUGGAUAUGUGAAAUUUGAGGAAACUACUAAAUAUCUAAGAUGUUGAGUAAGAAUUGAGCCUGGUGAUAUGAUUUUGGGAGUUAUCAGCAUGAAGACAGUAAUUGAGCACAUAGCAUUAGACAAGAUCACCUAGGGAGUGAUUGUGGAUAGAAAAGAAAAGGUAGGGUUUCUGGUAUUGUAUAGAGCAUGGGCAGAUGGAGAGUGACCAGAAAUGGGGAGUAAGAAAGAGUGGCUACUGAGGCAGAAGGAGAACUAAGAAGGAACCAGUGGACUCUUUGAAGCUGUGAAGAAAAUGACAUAAAAAUUAGGGGACCAAUCAACUCAGUGUUCAAUUUUUCAGUUAGACUGAGUAAGAGGUAGAAUGAGAAUUGGAGUUAGUGACAGGAGGUCAGUGGUAACUUCCUUCUUCUAUCUUGGAUAAUAAAAUAGAGCACC